Molecule: long non-coding RNA, 453 nt
Organism: Lolium rigidum
Lineage: Eukaryota; Viridiplantae; Streptophyta; Magnoliopsida; Poales; Poaceae
Exons: 2
Source: RefSeq, a predicted model, not a curated record
ACCUGAACUAAUACUUGAGCACAACAGGUUUUUUAUACCAAUGCUGGACUUCCUGUCCCGGAAGACCUUCAAGAUGACUCGAUGGAAGAUGGUGUGCAUGUGAAUCAAUCUUCACCAUCUACAGAAAAUGGCGGCACUCAAGUGAUGGCAUCGUCUCGUGCCGCAGAGCAAAGUGAUACGACCCCAUCAGGCCAGCUUCAUACAACUCAUGCAAGGGAGGAGGCACCUUUCUUGGAUGAAUAAUAAGCAUUAAUAUAGCAGUUACACAUGUAGCUACCAUGUUGGAAUUUGACUUUCUUUUGUGAGUAGUUGUGAACCUGAAUGUUUCUAUAUUUGCUUCUUCUCUAUGUUGCCAAAAACAAGUGGCUGUUAUGGAUAUAGUAUGUGUCAUUAUGGAAUACUGUGUGAUAUUUUGUUCAAUGAGAAAAAUGUAUUGAAUGUGAUUUGUGAAUC